AUUGAACGCUGGCGGCAUGCCUUACACAUGCAAGUCGAACGGCAGCGCGGGCUUCGGCCUGGCGGCGAGUGGCGAACGGGUGAGUAAUAUAUCGGAACGUGCCCUGGAGUGGGGAUAACUAGUCGAAAGAUUAGCUAAUACCGCAUACGAUCUACGGAUGAAAGUGGGGGAUCGCAAGACCUCAUGCUCGUGGAGCGGCCGAUAUCUGAUUAGCUAGUUGGUAGGGUAAAAGCCUACCAAGGCGACGAUCAGUAGCUGGUCUGAGAGGACGACCAGCCACACUGGGACUGAGACACGGCCCAGACUCCUACGGGAGGCAGCAGUGGGGAAUUUUGGACAAUGGGCGAAAGCCUGAUCCAGCAAUGCCGCGUGUGUGAAGAAGGCCUUCGGGUUGUAAAGCACUUUUGUCCGGAAAGAAAUCCUUUGGGCUAAUACCUCGGAGGGAUGACGGUACCGGAAGAAUAAGCACCGGCUAACUACGUGCCAGCAGCCGCGGUAAUACGUAGGGUGCAAGCGUUAAUCGGAAUUACUGGGCGUAAAGCGUGCGCAGGCGGUUGUGCAAGACAGAUGUGAAAUCCCCGGGGCUUAACCUGGGAACUGCAUUUGUGACUGCACGGCUAGAGUGUGUCAGAGGGGGGUUAGAAUUCCACGUGUAGCAGUGAAAUGCGUAGAUACGUGGAGGAAUACCGAUGGCGAAGGCAGCCCCCCUGGGAUAACACUGACGCUCAUGCACG
This 734-nucleotide ribosomal RNA is filed under the name uncultured bacterium. Its description in RNAcentral is "bacterial SSU rRNA". It matches the Rfam family "Bacterial small subunit ribosomal RNA", at positions 28 to 755 of the family's 1533-position model. The record is from RNAcentral.